UAGACAGGAGGAAAAGAAAUGAAAAUAAUGUAAAUAAAUACAAUUAUGUUCAAAAGAUCUCUCUAGUCGAAAAAGUUUAGGCGCCAAAAAAUUCUAACCACCGCACUUUGUGUCGUCAACGUUUAUUUUUUGUUUCGUUUUUUUUCGAUUUCGAUAAUUUGUAUUCGUUGUUAAAAUUUUAUUUUUCCCCUCAAAUAAAGUUUAAUUUGUUCUUUUUUUGGAU
RNAcentral lists this long non-coding RNA (223 nucleotides) under Linum usitatissimum (flax). RNAcentral describes it as "long non-coding RNA (LUSI_LNC003887)". The record is from RNAcentral. Lineage: Eukaryota; Viridiplantae; Streptophyta; Magnoliopsida; Malpighiales; Linaceae.